AACGAACGCUGGCGGCAUGCCUAACACAUGCAAGUCGAACGAGACCUUCGGGUCUAGUGGCGCACGGGUGCGUAACGCGUGGGAAUCUGCCCUUGGGUUCGGAAUAACAGCGAGAAAUUGCUGCUAAUACCGGAUGAUGACGUAAGUCCAAAGAUUUAUCGCCCAAGGAUGAGCCCGCGUAGGAUUAGCUAGUUGGUGAGGUAAAGGCUCACCAAGGCGACGAUCCUUAGCUGGUCUGAGAGGAUGAUCAGCCACACUGGGACUGAGACACGGCCCAGACUCCUACGGGAGGCAGCAGUGGGGAAUAUUGGACAAUGGGCGAAAGCCUGAUCCAGCAAUGCCGCGUGAGUGAUGAAGGCCUUAGGGUUGUAAAGCUCUUUUACCCGGGUAUGAUAAUGACAGUACCGGGAGAAUAAGACUCCGGCUAACUCCGUGCCAGCAGCCGCGGUAAU
This 452-nucleotide ribosomal RNA is filed under the name uncultured bacterium. RNAcentral's name for it is "bacterial SSU rRNA". It matches the Rfam family "Bacterial small subunit ribosomal RNA", at positions 29 to 524 of the family's 1533-position model. The record is from RNAcentral.